GCCCGCUGGCUCACACGGGGUGCUCUUGAUCGAGUGUCCCGCGUGGCCGGCAGAGUUUACUUUGAAAAAAUUAGAGUGCUCAAAGCAGGCUACACGGACGGCCUGAAUGCCUAUGCAUGGAAUAAUGGAAUAGGACCUCGGUUCUAUUUUGUCGGUUUUCUGAACCCGAGGUAAUGACUAAGAGGAACAGGCGGGGGCAUUCGUAUUGCGACGCUAGAGGUGAAAUUCUUGGACCGUCGCAAGACGAACUACUGCGAAAGCAUUUGCCAAGGAUGUUUUCAUUAAUCAAGAACGAAAGUUAGAGGUUCGAAGGCGAUCANAUACCGCCCUANUUCUAACCAUAAACGAUGCUGACCAGCGAUCCGCCGGCGUUAUUCCCAUGACCCGGCGGGCAGCUUCCGGGAAACCAAAGUCUUUGAGUUCCGGGGGAAGUAUGGUUGCAAAGCUGAAACUUAAAGGAAUUGACGGAAGGGCACCACCACGAGUGGAGCCUGCCGCUUAAUUUGACUCAACACGGGGAACCUCACC
This 528-nucleotide ribosomal RNA is filed under the name Deckenia imitatrix. RNAcentral describes it as "SSU rRNA". It matches the Rfam family "Eukaryotic small subunit ribosomal RNA", at positions 696 to 1219 of the family's 1831-position model. Lineage: Eukaryota; Metazoa; Arthropoda; Malacostraca; Decapoda; Deckeniidae. The record is from RNAcentral.